GAUGAACGCUGGCGGCGUGCCUAAUACAUGCAAGUCGAGCGAACAGACGAGGAGCUUGCUCCUCUGACGUUAGCGGCGGACGGGUGAGUAACACGUGGAUAACCGACCUAUAAGACUGGGAUAACUUCGGGAAACCGGAGCUAAUAUCGGAUAAUAUAUUGAACCGCAUGGUUCAAUAGUGAAAGACGGUUUUGCUGUCACUUAUAGAUGGAUCCACGCCGCAUUAGCUAGUUGGUAAGGUAACGGCUUACCAAGGCAACGAUGCGUAGCCGACCUGAGAGGGUGAUCGGCCACACUGGAACUGAGACACGGUCCAGACUCCUACGGGAGGCAGCAGUAGGGAAUCUUCCGCAAUGGGCGAAAGCCUGACGGAGCAACGCCGCGUGAGUGAUGAAGGUCUUCGGAUCGUAAAACUCUGUUAUUAGGGAAGAACAAAUGUGUAAGUAACUAUGCACGUCUUGACGGUACCUAAUCAGAAAGCCACGGCUAACUACGUG
Molecule: ribosomal RNA, 497 nt
Filed under: uncultured bacterium
Lineage: Bacteria
Description: partial 16S ribosomal RNA
Rfam family: Bacterial small subunit ribosomal RNA
Source: RNAcentral